GAUGAAGAACGCAGCGAAAUGCGAUAACUAGUGUGAAUUGCAGAAUUCAGUGAACCAUCGAGUCUUUGAACGCACAUUGCGGCCGCCGGUAUUCCGGCGGCCACGCCUGUCCGAGCGCCACUAAAAAACCCCUCAGGCCACCGCGCCUGGCGUUGGGGGGCCGCCGUCUGCCCGUCCAGGGCUUGCCAGGCGGCCCCCAGAAAACCAGUGGCGGCGGCGUCGUAGGCGCUACGCGUGUAGUAAAACCACUCUCGCGGAGCCCCGGCGCUCGCUAGCGGGCGAGAGCCCCCCCCAUACCUCACAAGGUUGGCCUCGGAUCAGGCGGGACUACCCGCUGAACUUAAGCAUAUCAAUAAGCGGAGGA
This 364-nucleotide unclassified non-coding RNA is filed under the name soil metagenome. RNAcentral's name for it is "partial contains 5.8S ribosomal RNA, internal transcribed spacer 2, and large subunit ribosomal RNA". The stretch from base 1 to 120 matches the Rfam family "5.8S ribosomal RNA", at positions 35 to 154 of the family's 154-position model. The record is from RNAcentral.